This 663-nucleotide long non-coding RNA is filed under the name Nicotiana benthamiana. RNAcentral describes it as "long non-coding RNA (NBEN_LNC031024)". The record is from RNAcentral. Lineage: Eukaryota; Viridiplantae; Streptophyta; Magnoliopsida; Solanales; Solanaceae.
AAAAUAAGGGUAAGCAAUUAAGACAAGAGUGAAAGAAAAGGACUAGUGUCUUGUGUUCUUUUUGUCUAUGGGGCUGAAAUAAAAGCAUAAUUGUCUAUAGAAAUUUGUAUAUUCUUUUAAAGAGGGGCUUAAAAGGGUUACAGUUGUUGCUACAGUUUGCAGUGAAAAUGACAUUCACAUGGUGCAAAUUAAAUUUCUUAAAUGGGAGCUUGUUGAUAUUUCAAUAAGUACUGGUUGUUUUAGACUAUAAGUUGGAGGCUCAUAUUUGGAGAUGUUGAAGAAGGAAAAGCUAAGUUCUUUUUAAAGCUAUUCUUGUUAAUUAGAAACUGGUCCAACCCCAACCCUUCCCCAGAAACUACCGUCCGACCUUCUCUAUAACAUAUCCUUAUAUAACAACACUUCAAAAUAAAAAUCAUGUUUUUUCGGAACCAAAUUUCAUGUUCUGUUGUAAUAUAUGUUUUCUAUAACAACAAUUCGCUACAAACAUCCAAAAAAAUCAGCUGGAACAAACAAGAAUCUUAUAGAGAAGUUUGACUGUAUAGUAAUUUUAAGCUCCAUAAAUUGAUAAGUUAGGUUGAUUCAUUAUAAAAAUGUAUGAAUAAUGCCAACACAAGUAAUCCCUGAUGUCACCGCUAGCGAAGGGUGGUCAUGCUCAAAUAUUAU